This is a long non-coding RNA of Ochotona princeps (American pika), 330 nucleotides long. RefSeq lists it as uncharacterized. The transcript has 3 exons. NCBI's taxonomy places the organism in Eukaryota, Metazoa, Chordata, Mammalia, Lagomorpha, Ochotonidae. The record is from RefSeq and is a predicted model, not a curated record.
CCUGGGUCCAGGGGUAUUCCCAGUGCCCAUUUUGACUUGAUUGGACAUCUUGAGAUGACUUGACUCCUCACUACACACUAAACCAUGGAAUGCUUUUAUCCCUAUAGGAAUUACAAGCUCAACAGCAUCUUUAAAUAAUGAAUGCCACAACACUUUAAAAUGUGUGUAGAUACACAUGUAUUUUAUCACACAUGGCUUACAGCAGGCUUUUGAAGAACAGACCACGUGUUUUCAGUCUGCUGGUGAAUAACAGGAUCUUGGAAGUCAUUUUCUGCGCUGUAGACUGCACAUCCUCAAGUACUUCCACUCACACCUGACCAUCCUUGACAU